This 221-nucleotide ribosomal RNA is filed under the name uncultured bacterium. RNAcentral describes it as "partial 16S ribosomal RNA". It matches the Rfam family "Bacterial small subunit ribosomal RNA", at positions 524 to 742 of the family's 1533-position model. The record is from RNAcentral.
GACAGAGGGUGCGAACGUUGUUCGGAAUUACUGGGCGUAAAGCGCAUGUAGGCGGCAGCGCAAGUCGGGCGUGAAAUCCCACGGCUCAACCGUGGAAGUGCACUCGAAACUGCGCAGCUAGAGUCCUGGAGAGGAAGGUGGAAUGCUUGGUGUAGAGGUGAAAUUCGUAGAUAUCAAGCGGAACACCGGUGGCGAAGGCGGCCUUACUGGGACAGUGACUG